This 2902-nucleotide ribosomal RNA is filed under the name Klebsiella pneumoniae. Its description in RNAcentral is "23S ribosomal RNA". It matches the Rfam family "Bacterial large subunit ribosomal RNA". Lineage: Bacteria; Pseudomonadati; Pseudomonadota; Gammaproteobacteria; Enterobacterales; Enterobacteriaceae. The record is from RNAcentral.
GGUUAAGCGACUAAGCGUACACGGUGGAUGCCCUGGCAGUCAGAGGCGAUGAAGGACGUGCUAAUCUGCGAAAAGCGUCGGUAAGGUGAUAUGAACCGUUAUAACCGGCGAUGUCCGAAUGGGGAAACCCAGUGCAAUUCGUUGCACUAUCGUUAACUGAAUACAUAGGUUAACGAGGCGAACCGGGGGAACUGAAACAUCUAAGUACCCCGAGGAAAAGAAAUCAACCGAGAUUCCCCCAGUAGCGGCGAGCGAACGGGGAGCAGCCCAGAGUCUGAAUCAGCUUGUGUGUUAGUGGAACGGUCUGGAAAGUCCGACGGUACAGGGUGAUAGUCCCGUACACCAAAAUGCACAGGUUGUGAACUCGAAGAGUAGGGCGGGACACGUGGUAUCCUGUCUGAAUAUGGGGGGACCAUCCUCCAAGGCUAAAUACUCCUGACUGACCGAUAGUGAACCAGUACCGUGAGGGAAAGGCGAAAAGAACCCCGGCGAGGGGAGUGAAAAAGAACCUGAAACCGUGUACGUACAAGCAGUGGGAGCACCUUCGGGUGUGACUGCGUACCUUUUGUAUAAUGGGUCAGCGACUUAUAUUCUGUAGCAAGGUUAACCGUAUAGGGGAGCCGCAGGGAAACCGAGUCUUAACUGGGCGUUAAGUUGCAGGGUAUAGACCCGAAACCCGGUGAUCUAGCCAUGGGCAGGUUGAAGGUUGGGUAACACUAACUGGAGGACCGAACCGACUAAUGUUGAAAAAUUAGCGGAUGACUUGUGGCUGGGGGUGAAAGGCCAAUCAAACCGGGAGAUAGCUGGUUCUCCCCGAAAGCUAUUUAGGUAGCGCCUCGUGAAUUCAUCUUCGGGGGUAGAGCACUGUUUCGGCUAGGGGGUCAUCCCGACUUACCAACCCGAUGCAAACUACGAAUACCGAAGAAUGUUAUCACGGGAGACACACGGCGGGUGCUAACGUCCGUCGUGAAGAGGGAAACAACCCAGACCGCCAGCUAAGGUCCCAAAGUCAUGGUUAAGUGGGAAACGAUGUGGGAAGGCACAGACAGCCAGGAUGUUGGCUUAGAAGCAGCCAUCAUUUAAAGAAAGCGUAAUAGCUCACUGGUCGAGUCGGCCUGCGCGGAAGAUGUAACGGGGCUAAACCAUGCACCGAAGCUGCGGCAGCGACACUAUGUGUUGUUGGGUAGGGGAGCGUUCUGUAAGCCUGCGAAGGUGACCUGUGAGGGUUGCUGGAGGUAUCAGAAGUGCGAAUGCUGACAUAAGUAACGAUAAAGCGGGUGAAAAGCCCGCUCGCCGGAAGACCAAGGGUUCCUGUCCAACGUUAAUCGGGGCAGGGUGAGUCGACCCCUAAGGCGAGGCCGAAAGGCGUAGUCGAUGGGAAACAGGUUAAUAUUCCUGUACUUGGUGUUACUGCGAAGGGGGGACGGAGAAGGCUAUGUUAGCCGGGCGACGGUUGUCCCGGUUUAAGCAUGUAGGCUGAUUGUCCAGGCAAAUCCGGAUAAUCAAGGCUGAGGUGUGAUGACGAGGCACUACGGUGCUGAAGUAACAAAUGCCCUGCUUCCAGGAAAAGCCUCUAAGCAUCAGGUAACAUUAAAUCGUACCCCAAACCGACACAGGUGGUCAGGUAGAGAAUACCAAGGCGCUUGAGAGAACUCGGGUGAAGGAACUAGGCAAAAUGGUGCCGUAACUUCGGGAGAAGGCACGCUGGUGUGUAGGUGAAGUCCCUGCGGAUGGAGCUGAGACCAGUCGAAGAUACCAGCUGGCUGCAACUGUUUAUUAAAAACACAGCACUGUGCAAACACGAAAGUGGACGUAUACGGUGUGACGCCUGCCCGGUGCCGGAAGGUUAAUUGAUGGGGUUAUCCGUAAGGAGAAGCUCUUGAUCGAAGCCCCGGUAAACGGCGGCCGUAACUAUAACGGUCCUAAGGUAGCGAAAUUCCUUGUCGGGUAAGUUCCGACCUGCACGAAUGGCGUAAUGAUGGCCAGGCUGUCUCCACCCGAGACUCAGUGAAAUUGAACUCGCUGUGAAGAUGCAGUGUACCCGCGGCAAGACGGAAAGACCCCGUGAACCUUUACUAUAGCUUGACACUGAACAUUGAGCCUUGAUGUGUAGGAUAGGUGGGAGGCUUUGAAGCGUGGACGCCAGUCUGCGUGGAGCCAACCUUGAAAUACCACCCUUUAAUGUUUGAUGUUCUAACGUUGGCCCCUUACCGGGGUUGCGGACAGUGUCUGGUGGGUAGUUUGACUGGGGCGGUCUCCUCCCAAAGCGUAACGGAGGAGCACGAAGGUUAGCUAAUCCUGGUCGGACAUCAGGAGGUUAGUGCAAUGGCAUAAGCUAGCUUGACUGCGAGCGUGACGGCGCGAGCAGGUGCGAAAGCAGGUCAUAGUGAUCCGGUGGUUCUGAAUGGAAGGGCCAUCGCUCAACGGAUAAAAGGUACUCCGGGGAUAACAGGCUGAUACCGCCCAAGAGUUCAUAUCGACGGCGGUGUUUGGCACCUCGAUGUCGGCUCAUCACAUCCUGGGGCUGAAGUAGGUCCCAAGGGUAUGGCUGUUCGCCAUUUAAAGUGGUACGCGAGCUGGGUUUAGAACGUCGUGAGACAGUUCGGUCCCUAUCUGCCGUGGGCGCUGGAGAAUUGAGGGGGGCUGCUCCUAGUACGAGAGGACCGGAGUGGACGCAUCACUGGUGUUCGGGUUGUCAUGCCAAUGGCACUGCCCGGUAGCUAAAUGCGGAAGAGAUAAGUGCUGAAAGCAUCUAAGCACGAAACUUGCCCCGAGAUGAGUUCUCCCUGAGACUUUAAGUCUCCUGAAGGAACGUUGAAGACGACGACGUUGAUAGGCCGGGUGUGUAAGCGCAGCGAUGCGUUGAGCUAACCGGUACUAAUGAACCGUGAGGCUUAACCUU